This 253-nucleotide ribosomal RNA is filed under the name uncultured bacterium. RNAcentral's name for it is "partial 16S ribosomal RNA". It matches the Rfam family "Bacterial small subunit ribosomal RNA", at positions 524 to 776 of the family's 1533-position model. The record is from RNAcentral.
UACGUAGGGGGCAAGCGUUAUCCGGAUUUACUGGGUGUAAAGGGGGCGCAGACGGCAGCGCAAGCCAGGAGUGAAAGCCCGGGGCCCAACCCCGGGACUGCUCUUGGAACUGCGCGGCUGGAGUGCAGGAGGGGCAGGCGGAAUUCCUAGUGUAGCGGUGAAAUGCGUAGAUAUUAGGAGGAACACCGGCGGCGAAGGCGGCCUGCUGGACCGAAACUGACGUUGAGGCUCGAAAGCGUGGGGAGCAAACAGG